This 306-nucleotide ribosomal RNA is filed under the name uncultured bacterium. RNAcentral's name for it is "partial 16S ribosomal RNA". It matches the Rfam family "Bacterial small subunit ribosomal RNA", at positions 507 to 807 of the family's 1533-position model. The record is from RNAcentral.
GACAGCAGUCGCCGCGGUAAUACGGAGGGGGCUAGCGUUGUUCGGAAUUACUGGGCGUAAAGGGCACGUAGGCGGCUUGGUAAGUUAGAGGUGAAAGCCCGGAGCUCAACUCCGGAAUUGCCUUUAAGACUGCCGAGCUAGUAGGUGAGAGAGGUAAGUGGAAUUCCGAGUGUAGAGGUGAGAUUCGUAGAUAUUCGGAAGAACACCAGUGGCGAAGGCGGCUUACUGGCUCAUUCUAGACGCUGAGGUGCGAAAGCGUGGGGAGCAAACAGGAUUAGAUACCCCCGUAGUCCCUGUCUCUUAUAC